RNAcentral lists this ribosomal RNA (2280 nucleotides) under human gut metagenome. Its description in RNAcentral is "bacterial LSU rRNA". It matches the Rfam family "Bacterial large subunit ribosomal RNA", at positions 3 to 2302 of the family's 2925-position model. The record is from RNAcentral.
UCAAGCUACUAAGGGCAUACGGCGGAUGCCUAGGCGCCAUCAGCCGAUGAAGGACGCGGUAAGCUGCGAAAAGCUACGGGGAACUGCAAGCAAGUAUUGAUCCGUAGAUGUCCGAAUGGGGAAACCCACCUGCCGUCAUGGGCAGGUAUCCGAAAGGAAGGGAACCCGGGGAACUGAAACAUCUAAGUACCCGGAGGAAGAGAAAUCAAACGAGAUGCCCACAGUAGCGGCGAGCGAAGAGGGCAGAGGGCAAACCGGGGAGCUACGGCUCUCCGGGGUUGAGGACUGCAUUUAGUUUCAAUGGUUUAUCCGAACUACUUGGAAAAGUAGGCAACACAGUGUAAAAGCCACGUAGGUUAAAGACCAAAGAGAUGAGCAGUAUCCAGAGUACCACGAGGCACGAGGAAUCUUGUGGGAAGCCGGGGGGACCACCCUCCAACCCUAAACACUGAAUGGCGACCGAUAGCGCAUAGUACCGUGAGGGAAAGGUGAAAAGAACCCCGGGAGGGGAGUGAAAGAGAACCUGAAACCGUAUGUCUACAAGCAGUCGGAGCGAAAGCGACGGCGUGCCUAUUGAAGAAUGAACCAACGAGUUACGUGCACUAGCGAGGUUAAGUGGAAGACACGGAGCCGAAGCGAAAGCGAGUCUUAAGAGGGCGGAUAGUUAGUGUACGUAGACCCGAAACCGCAGUGAUCUACCCAUGUCCAGGUUGAAGCGCAGGUAAAAUUGCGUGGAGGACCGAACCUGUGAGCGUUGAAAAGCUUUAGGAUGAGAUGUGGGUAGAGGUGAAAUUCCAAUCGAACGCGGAGAUAGCUGGUUCUCCCCGAAAUAGCUUUAGGGCUAGCCUCAAGUAGUAAGUAUAGGCGGUAGAGCACUGAUCGGGCUAGGGGCCAUAAAGGUUACCGAACCCUGUCAAACUCCGAAUGGUUAUACUGUAGAGCUUGGGAGUCAGACUACGAGUGAUAAGAUCCGUGGUCAAAAGGGAAACAGCCCAGACCACCAGCUAAGGUCCCCAAUGUCGUACUAAGUGGAAAAGGAUGUGGGGUCUCUAAAACAACCAGGAUGUUGGCUUAGAAGCAGCCACCAUUUAAAGAGUGCGUAAUAGCUCACUGGUCGAGAGACCCUGCGCCGAAGAUUACCGGGGCUAAAGUACGAAACCGAAGCUGUGGCUACGACUUAGGUCGUGGGGUAGGGGAGCGUUCUGUGAGGGCUGAAGUCGUUCUGUAAGGAACGGUGGACUUCACAGAAGUGAGAAUGUUGGUAUGAGUAGCGAAAAGAAUGGUGAGAAUCCAUUCCACCGAAAGCAUAAGGAUUCCUGGGCAACGAUCGUCGUCCCAGGGUAAGUCGGGACCUAAUCCGAGGCAUGGAGCGUAGGAGAUGGACAACUGGCAGAUAUUCCAGUACCGGUAAUGAUUGUUUGAGCGAUGGAGUGACACAGGAGGGCAGGCAGGCAGGAGAUUGGUUGUUCCUGUACAAGCGUGUAGGGUGGAACGUAGGCAAAUCCGCGUUCUGAGAGCCUGAGGCGUGAUGUGGAGGUUCCGGAAACGGAACUGAAGCUGCUGACCCCACACUGUCGAGAAAAGCUUCUAGUUAGAGAAUUACCGCCCGUACCGUAAACCGACACAGGUAUGCGGGGAGAGAAUCCUAAGGUGCGCGGGAGAACCCUCGUUAAGGAACUCGGCAAAAUGUACCCGUAACUUCGGGAUAAGGGUAGCCGCUGUUGUGAAGUCUGCACAGAUGGAGCAUGAGGCGGUCGCAGAGAAGAGGCCCAAGCGACUGUUUACCACAAACACAGGUGCCUGCUAAAGAGAAAUCUGACGUAUAGGUGCUGACACCUGCCCAGUGCCGGAAGGUUAAGGAAGGAUGUCCGGAGCAAUCCAAAGCAUUCGACCGAAGCCCCGGUGAACGGCGGCCGUAACUAUAACGGUCCUAAGGUAGCGAAAUUCCUUGUCGGGUAAGUUCCGACCCGCACGAAAGGUGUAACGAUUUGGGCACUGUCUCAACGAGGGACCCGGUGAAAUUGAAGUACCUGUGAAGAUGCAGGUUACCCGCGACUGGACAGAAAGACCCCAUGGAGCUUUACUGUAACCUGACAUUGGGUUCUGAUACAUCACGUACAGGAUAGGUGGGAGGCAUGGAAGCGAGGACGCUAGUCUUCGUGGAGCCGCCGUUGGGAUACCACCCUUGAUGUAUCGGAAUUCUAACCGUAGGAGUAACGAAACUCGGGACAGUGUCAGGCGGGCAGUUUGACUGGGGCGGUCGCCUCCCAAAGAGUAACG